UACGAGGGGGGCAAGCGUUGUUCGGAAUUAUUGGGCGUAAAGGGUGCGUAGGCGGUUUCGCAAGUCUUAUGUGAAAUCUAUGGGCUCAACCCAUAGUCUGCAUAGGAAACUGCGAGGCUUGAGGAUGGGAGAGAUGAGUGGAAUUUCCGGUGUAGCGGUGAAAUGCGUAGAUAUCGGAAGGAACACCUGUGGCGAAAGCGGCACGCUGGAUCUCUACUGACGCUGAGGCGCGAAAGCCAGGGGAGCAAACGGG
Molecule: ribosomal RNA, 253 nt
Filed under: uncultured bacterium
Lineage: Bacteria
Description: partial 16S ribosomal RNA
Rfam family: Bacterial small subunit ribosomal RNA
Source: RNAcentral